CUAACGUUGGGAGAUAAUUCUGUCGACGGAGAAAAAUGUUAUGGUAUGCUUUUGAUCCAUGCUUCUCGUUCAAAGGCUCACUGUUGCUUUCGUACUGCAGACAUUACCCAAGACACAAGUUGCAUUGGUCCUGCUCCCUCUGCUGAAGAAGGCCAAACUCCAAGCACCACAGCAGAAAACAACACCUCUCCUGGGAGAAUUGAGGGGAGCCCAUUUAUUGUAAAACAGGUCAGCAAAUCAUCAUACGGCCCGUGAUGUAGCAACCCUGCACAUGAGAACGAUGGCAAUGAAUGAUGGAGCCAAACAUUGAUGAAAAGAAAUCCACCAAAAAGAACAGUGCAUCAUUCCCUCCGUCCCAAAAUAAGUGACAUGGUUUUAGUUUGAACCAAAACCACGUCACUUAUUUUGAAGUGAAAUAGCAUAAAACUACCACUUUUCGCGUUAGGGUUCCGAAAAACUACCAAAAAUUUGUUUGUGACUGAUACCUACCAGAAUCCACGUCGGCUGUUUCAAAAAGCCCAAAUCGCCGAGUGCUUAUCAAUUGAACGCGAUUAUGACAGUUGGGGCC
This 568-nucleotide long non-coding RNA is filed under the name Triticum aestivum (bread wheat). RNAcentral describes it as "long non-coding RNA (TAES_LNC017918)". Lineage: Eukaryota; Viridiplantae; Streptophyta; Magnoliopsida; Poales; Poaceae. The record is from RNAcentral.